GGACUAUCUCAGCCUGAUCUAUCCCAGGAUAGUUACAUGAUGGGUGAGUUUCAUUCGCAAAUGGAUGGAUUGCUCUCACAAGAUUCAACAUAUCAAGGUGACCGUACUGUCACGUCAUUUUAUAAUCCACCAAAUACAUUGUACUCUCAGCAACCAUAUUGAAAACAUUUUACAAUGGACAAGUACAUCCAAUGAGCACGUGGGAACGUCUUGUUGGUGCUGAUAUAUCAACAGAAAAAAGAAUAUUUUUAUUAUUGAGCGUCGUAUGCAGACAUCAUGACCAACAAAUGUUAGCACAUAAAGUGUUUAUGGGAAAAAACUAAAGGCUUAGAUGAACAUUUACAAUUGAUUUUAUAUAACUAUUGUAUGUGGUGAACAAUACAUGUUAAAAUUUACGCUAUUGAACUGUUUUUGAGAAAACAAUGUUUUUUGCAUGUUAUUUGUUUAACAUAUUUAUUUUAUUUUAUUUGUUUAUUUAUUUAUUUAUUUUUUUUUGUUUAUUUUUAUUGACACGUAUGUAUUUACAGUCUUGCCCUUUUUUUUUUUUUGAGUUCAAAAAGAUAUGUUCCAAGCCUUUCUAUUACUAUCAAAAUUUGGAGUUCUUAAAUUAAAACAAUGAACCCAAUAAUAAACAAAUAUUAUAGUUCUGUAACUAUUCAAACAUUUAAUUGUGUAUCAACAGUUUUAUCACAAAUUUGAUGUCAAAAAAAUAAAAUUUUUAAUUUAGUCUACAUUUUCUUAUAAUAAUAAUAAUAAUUUUUAUUUCUGAGUUCAAUGUAAUUGUGUUCAGUAAUUUUUAACACUAACAAAUAUGGGCAGACUAUUUUGUUUGUAUGUUUAUAAAAAUAACAAAACAAAUUGUGCUUUAUUUGGAGAUAAAUGAAAAAGUAUAUUUUUAAUUUCCAUGGUAUUUAAGAGCUAAUCUUCCAUCCCAUAAUUAUGGGAUUAUACUUUGAUGUCAAGCAGUUGUGGAAUUGACUUGAGUUAUUUAAAAAUGUCAAUUGAUCAGUAAUCAAUUCAAAUUAUUUUAUUUUUAUGUUAUUUUUCGAUGYCAAUUAUUUGUUGGUUCACCUAAAAAUUAUAUGAUUAAGUCAAAGUAACA
This is a long non-coding RNA of Diuraphis noxia (Russian wheat aphid), 1102 nucleotides long. NCBI's taxonomy places the organism in Eukaryota, Metazoa, Arthropoda, Insecta, Hemiptera, Aphididae. The record is from RefSeq and is a predicted model, not a curated record.